UGUUGAGAUACUCGAUUGCGUAUACGACUACCUACGAAUAGAACGCUGCAAGAAAUCGUAUUUAGAUGUAUGUAGAAAUACAUCCAGCAUUGGCUAUACAACUUGUAUCCAAAUAUUUGGAAAGGAGAAAGUUCUAAUUAUUUUUUGGUUUAUCUUGUCAAAUAUCAAAUGUGUCACAUGUGCAAGUAAAAAAUUGUAAAGUAAAAUAAUAAAACACAAGAUGAAGAUA
Molecule: non-coding RNA, 229 nt
Organism: Nylanderia fulva
Lineage: Eukaryota; Metazoa; Arthropoda; Insecta; Hymenoptera; Formicidae
Source: RefSeq, a predicted model, not a curated record